RNA transcript from Ipomoea triloba (trilobed morning glory), 925 nucleotides. It is a transcript of the gene named 7-methyl-GTP pyrophosphatase-like, with no coding region annotated. NCBI's taxonomy places the organism in Eukaryota, Viridiplantae, Streptophyta, Magnoliopsida, Solanales, Convolvulaceae. The transcript has 9 exons. The record is from RefSeq and is a predicted model, not a curated record.
UUAGUUCUUACUGGGAGACUGAAGAGCUGAAAGUUGAAACGAAUGCACUAUGGACCAUAAAUCACUACAAGAAGAUAUAAUCUGCUAAAAAGCAUAAAAAUCACUUCACACUGCUUAUCGCCUAAGCUAACUUCCACAGACGCAUAGCAUAGUGAGAGAGAGCCCAACAGAAAUGGCCCCAAAGAACUCUUCCUUCAAGAUAAUCUUGGGUUCGUCUUCAUUUGCUCGCCGGAAAAUUUUGGCUGAGAUGGGGUACGAAUUCACGGUCAUGAUUGCUGAUAUAGAUGAACAAAGCAUAAGGAAGGAAAAGGCAGAGGAACUGGUAGUAGCUCUAGCUGAAGCCAAGGCAGAUGCUAUCAUUGAAAGGCUCAAGAGUACUGGUGAAAUGAAGGAAAUUCUCGGACCUACACUGUUAAUUACUGCUGACACUGUGGCGGUUUAUGAAGGAGUCAUCAGAGAAAAGCCAUCAGGCAAGGAAGAAGCACGCAUGUUCAUCAAAGGGUAUUCCGGUGGUCAAGCUUCUGUAGUGGGAUCUGUUGUAGUAACCAACCUCACGACUGGCAAAAGAAAAACGGGGUGGGAAUUGUCUGAGAAAAUGGAUGCGCUAUUAACAGAAGUGCUAGUUCUGAGUUUUCAUGAUCAAAUGUUUCCUUGCCUCCUGCACGAGCUGUCAUUUUAUGUAUUAUUACAUGGUUGUCGUUCCGUAAUCUUAGAUUUUCGCAACUUCACAACAUUAUUGCAUCUCGAAGAUGAACGUUUGCCACAUAUCUAUAACUGUAGGUCUAUUUCCACGAGAUACCAGAUGAGGUGAUUGAUGACCUGGUAGAUUGAGGAGGGAAUAAUACUCAACGUGGCUGGCGGUCUAAUGCUUGAACAUCCAUUGACAUUGCCCUUUGUUGACACAGUGGUUGGAACUGCAGAUCAU